CCUACGGGAGACAGCAGUAGGGAAUCUUCCACAAUGGGCGAAAGCCUGACCGAGCAACGCCGCGUGCAGGAAGAAGGCCUUCGGGUUGUAAACUGCUUUUAUAAGCGAGGAAUAAGAUGGUAACUUAUGAAUCAGGAUCGGACAGCUACGAGCCAGCAGCCGCGGUCAUACGUAGGAGCCGAGCAUGAUCCGGAGCGUCUGUGUGUAAAGAGUUGCGUAGGGGGUAUAAUAAGUAGCUGUGGAAAACUGGUGUCUCAACCAGUCGGAAGAUUAGCUAAACUGUGAAGCUGGAGACCGUUAGAGGUAAGUGGAAUUUCUAGUGUAGGGGUGAAAUGCGUAGAUAUUAGGAGGAACACCAAUAGCGAAGGCAGGUUACUGGGACGGUACUGACGCUGAGGCACGAAAGCGUAGGGAGCAAACGGGAUUAGAUACCCCUGUAGUC
RNAcentral lists this ribosomal RNA (442 nucleotides) under uncultured bacterium. RNAcentral's name for it is "partial 16S ribosomal RNA". It matches the Rfam family "Bacterial small subunit ribosomal RNA", at positions 338 to 795 of the family's 1533-position model. The record is from RNAcentral.